This 492-nucleotide ribosomal RNA is filed under the name uncultured bacterium. Its description in RNAcentral is "partial 16S ribosomal RNA". It matches the Rfam family "Bacterial small subunit ribosomal RNA", at positions 29 to 507 of the family's 1533-position model. The record is from RNAcentral.
AGUGAACGCUGGCGGUAGGCCUAACACAUGCAAGUCGAACGGCAGCACAGUAAGAGCUUGCUCUUACGGGUGGCGAGUGGCGGACGGGUGAGGAAUACAUCGGAAUCUACUUUUUCGUGGGGGAUAACGUAGGGAAACUUACGCUAAUACCGCAUACGACCUACGGGUGAAAGCAGGGGAUCUUCGGACCUUGCGCGAUUGAAUGAGCCGAUGUCGGAUUAGAUAGUUGGCGGGGUAAAGGCCCACCAAGGCGACGAUCCGUAGCUGGUCUGAGAGGAUGGUCAGCCACACUGGAACUGGGACACGGUCCAGACUCCUACGGGAGGCAGCAGUGGGGAAUAUUGGACAAUGGGCGCAAGCCUGAUCCAGCCAUACCGCGUGGGUGAAGAAGGCCUUCGGGUUGUAAAGCCCUUUUGUUGGGAAAGAAAAGCAGCAGGUUAAUACCCCGCUGUUCUGACGGUACCCAAAGAAUAAGCACCGGCUAACUUCGUG